This 1636-nucleotide long non-coding RNA is filed under the name Marmota monax (woodchuck). The record is from RNAcentral. Lineage: Eukaryota; Metazoa; Chordata; Mammalia; Rodentia; Sciuridae.
UUGUAUCCAAAAUAUAUAUAGAAUUCUUUCAUUAAUAAAAAGACAACCCAAUUGAAAAUAUAGGUUAUUUCUCCAAGAAAGAUACACAGAAGACCCAUUAACACAUGAAAAGAUGCACAUUAUUAGCUGUCAAGGGAAUGCAAAUCAAAACAAUGUUUUACUUCACAUACACUAGAAUGGCUAUAAUAAAAAAGAAAGGGAUGUAGAAAAAUCAGAACCUUCAGACAUCCUGGUGGAAACGUAAAAUAGUAUGGAAUGUGUAGAAUCUAGCAGUUCUUCACAAUGCUCAAUGUAGAGUUACCACAGGACCCAGCAGAUCUACUCCUAGGUAUAUAUCCAUGAGCAAUGAAAGCACAGAACUUGUAUACAGAUCAUUAUUCACGGUAAUCAAAAAAUAGAAACAAUGCAAAUAUCCGUUAACUAAUUGAACAAAUUAGCAAAUGUGUUCUAUCCAUAUAAUAGAAUAUCAUUCAGCAAUAAAAAGCAAUGAAGUACUGAUAUGCCCUACAACAACGUGAAAGCACUAUACUAAGUGAAAGAAGCAGUCACAAACACCCUGGUGUUAUAUGAUUCCAUUUAUAUAAAAUGCCAGAGACAGGAAGCGGGUUAGGGAAGAGGUAGUCUGGGGGAAUGGAUCUCUUGAUGGGUGCUGUGAUUUUUUUCCAGGGGUGGUGAAAUCUUUUUAAAUUAAUCUUGGUGAUUUGUUACCCAACUCUAUGAAUGUACUAAAAUCUUUGAAUUGUAAAUUCAAAGAUGUAAAUAAUUGUAACUUAUAAUAGGUGAAUUGUAUGCUAUUUAAACUAUCUCCAUAAAGCUAUUAAAAAUACUCUGUAUUUAUAAAUAUAAGCUGAGAAUCCCUAAAUAAAGCUAAAUUCUCAGGUUCCAUUUUUUUUUUAAUUGCAUGUAAUUAGAUGGUAAUAGAAUAUUGUUACUAUCAACAGCACUAAUUUGGAAUUCUAGCCCUAGCACUUUGUAGAUGGACACAAUACCUUUAUAUAGUUGUGAGAUUGGGAGCAAGAUACUCAUAAAAUGAGAAGAAUAUAUAAAAUUAUUUAAAAAUACUUGUUCUGAAUUUUAUAGAAUUUUAAUAAUUAUGUCCUUUUUAGUGUUUAAAGCUUAAGAAUUUUAGGCAUUUUAGAGCUAAUGUGGAGAUCAGAGUGCUUAGAAGUCAUUGCCAGCCCACUUCUGCUGCUUACUCAUUAGAAGUGCCAUGGGAGCUUCUUAGAACAACCUGUCUCUGGGCCAGACUUCGGAGUCUGAUAUCAUCAGUCUCCAGUGGACUCCAGCAUCUCAUUGCUCUCCACUUCCUCCCCUUUUCCCCCCACACGAUUUUAAUAUGCAGCCACAAUUGAUAGCCACUGACUUCAUUGGUGAGCGGAUUUGUAUUUGCAACAUCAAAAGUCAAGCCAUUUUCUUUCAUAAUUUCUCUGUUGCAUAUUAUUGCUAGAUUUGUCAAUUUAUAAGUUGGAAGUGGAGAGGAAAUAUGAAACAAGGUAGCUAUAUAGUAAGAAAUAUUAUCAAAAUAACAUUUUACAAUUUAAGAUGUGCCUGCUUAUAAUGAUUUCUUAGAUUUAUAUAUAAAAUACUGGUUAAGUAGGUUCAGGUUUCAGCACUGCUCUAAUUUGCCAUUGAUUUU